Molecule: non-coding RNA, 45 nt
Organism: Bombyx mori (domestic silkworm)
Lineage: Eukaryota; Metazoa; Arthropoda; Insecta; Lepidoptera; Bombycidae
Source: Rfam
CAAAAGGCCCUUUUCAGGGCCGCAAAAUCUAUCAAUAAAAUGAUU